RNAcentral lists this transfer RNA (71 nucleotides) under Phanerochaete carnosa. RNAcentral describes it as "tRNA-Arg". It matches the Rfam family "tRNA". From Rfam's summary of the family: Transfer RNA (tRNA) molecules are approximately 80 nucleotides in length. Lineage: Eukaryota; Fungi; Basidiomycota; Agaricomycetes; Polyporales; Phanerochaetaceae. The record is from RNAcentral.
GGUCCUCAUGCUAAUGGUUAGCGAUUUGUCUUCGAAACAAAAUUUUAUUGGUUCGACUCCAAUGGGGACUA